This 744-nucleotide ribosomal RNA is filed under the name uncultured bacterium. Its description in RNAcentral is "bacterial SSU rRNA". It matches the Rfam family "Bacterial small subunit ribosomal RNA", at positions 8 to 796 of the family's 1533-position model. The record is from RNAcentral.
AGAGUUUGAUCAUGGCUCAGAGCGAACGCUGGCGGCAGGCUUAACACAUGCAAGUCGAGCGGGCGUAGCAAUACGUCAGCGGCAGACGGGUGAGUAACGCGUGGGAACAUACCUCUUGGUUCGGAACAACACAGGGAAACUUGUGCUAAUACCGGAUAAGCCCUUACGGGGAAAGAUUUAUCGCCGAGAGAUUGGCCCGCGUCUGAUUAGCUAGUUGGUAGGGUAACGGCCUACCAAGGCGACGAUCAGUAGCUGGUCUGAGAGGAUGAUCAGCCACAUUGGGACUGAGACACGGCCCAAACUCCUACGGGAGGCAGCAGUGGGGAAUAUUGGACAAUGGGGGCAACCCUGAUCCAGCCAUGCCGCGUGAGUGAUGAAGGCCCUAGGGUUGUAAAGCUCUUUUGUGCGGGAAGAUAAUGACGGUACCGCAAGAAUAAGCCCCGGCUAACUUCGUGCCAGCAGCCGCGGUAAUACGAAGGGGGCUAGCGUUGCUCGGAAUCACUGGGCGUAAAGGGUGCGUAGGCGGGUCUUUAAGUCAGGGGUGAAAUCCUGGAGCUCAACUCCAGAACUGCCUUUGAUACUGAAGAUCUUGAGUUCGGGAGAGGUGAGUGGAACUGCGAGUGUAGAGGUGAAAUUCGUAGAUAUUCGCAAGAACACCAGUGGCGAAGGCGGCUCACUGGCCCGAUACUGACGCUGAGGCACGAAAGCGUGGGGAGCAAACAGGAUUAGAUACCCUAGUAGUCC